UGAUGCAGCGACGCCGCGUGAGGGAUGACGGCCUUCGGGUUGUAAACCUCUUUCACCAGGGACGAAGCGAAAGUGACGGUACCUGGAGAAGAAGCACCGGCCAACUACGUGCCAGCAGCCGCGGUAAUACGUAGGGUGCGAGCGUUGUCCGGAAUUACUGGGCGUAAAGAGUUCGUAGGCGGUUUGUCGCGUCGUUCGUGAAAACUUGGGGCUUAACUCCAAGCGUGCGGGCGAUACGGGCAGACUUGAGUACUACAGGGGAGACUGGAAUUCCUGGUGUAGCGGUGAAAUGCGCAGAUAUCAGGAGGAACACCGGUGGCGAAGGCGGGUCUCUGGGUAGUAACUGACGCUGAGGAACGAAAGCGUGGGUAGCGAACAGGAUUAGAUACCCUGGUAGUCCACGCUGUAAACGGUGGGUACUAGGUGUG
RNAcentral lists this ribosomal RNA (428 nucleotides) under Williamsia sp. Its description in RNAcentral is "bacterial SSU rRNA". It matches the Rfam family "Bacterial small subunit ribosomal RNA", at positions 384 to 824 of the family's 1533-position model. Lineage: Bacteria; Bacillati; Actinomycetota; Actinomycetes; Mycobacteriales; Nocardiaceae. The record is from RNAcentral.